AAUGUGUCUGGGACCGCAAGUCUUCAAAGCCUAUGAUUUAAGGUCCAAGAGGUAAAAGCAGUCACAGUCUUCGCCACCUGGAUGAAAAAUUACAGCUUAACUUGCUCCUGUUUCUUCUUCAGUGGGAAACAGAAGACAGGGAAGAAAGCAGAGGAUGGAGGAAGGCAGUAGUUUGCCUCAGGCGAAAGAGAAGGUGGGAGCCCAGGAAGACCUUCGCUGUCUCAGCUCCAGUCAUGUGGUGGUCAUGAGCUGCCUCCCUCCCUUGAAUUUUCUAACAGCAGUUUACCAUGGCUCUGCAGGCUGACUGCCUGUGCUUCUGUGAGGGAGAAGAGCUGGAAGAUCUAUCACUUUAAUGAUUACUUAAUGGGAAAAGACUACUUAAGUUCUGGGACACUGUUCACAGAAUUAUCUGUGCUGCUUGUGAAGCUACAGACUGAACCUGAGCUGCUGUGCGGAGUGGGAGCCCUUGACAACUCCUCAACAGGCAAAGGAGCUGGGAAGUCAAGUGUUGUGUGGGACACCGAUAGCAAUAAUAUUGCAAUGCUUUUGUUCUGUGGAAGAGACAAAAUUGAAGGAGCACAUCUGCAGGCCUUGCAUCCUGUUGCACUACUUAUUUAUCUGGCUGGCAACACAGAAUUAUUCAGGGAUUUAAUUAAUGUUUUGAAAUCAUUUUGAGGGAGUUGCCAGAAGAUCCAAGAAAAUCUGGUAAUUUCCUGUUUAAAAACUUCAUAGGCUGUGGAGUGUAAAACCAUUUGAGAGAAGAAAGAAAACCUGUAAAUAGUUA
This 784-nucleotide long non-coding RNA is filed under the name Amazona collaria (yellow-billed parrot). RNAcentral's name for it is "lncRNA (ENSACOG00000004702.1)". Lineage: Eukaryota; Metazoa; Chordata; Aves; Psittaciformes; Psittacidae. The record is from RNAcentral.